UACGAGUGCCCCCGAGCGUUAAUCGGAAUUAUUGGGCGUAAAGGGCGCGUAGGCGGUCCUGUAAGCCCGGCGUGAAACCUGGAGCUCAACUCCGGGCCUGCGCUGGGAACUGCGGGACUAGAGUCAUGGAAGGGAAGUUGGAAUUCCAGGUGUAGGGGUGAAAUCUGUAGAUAUCUGGAAGAACACCGGUGGCGAAGGCGAACUUCUGGCCAAUGACUGACGCUGAGGCGCGAAAGUGCGGGGAGCAAAC
This 250-nucleotide ribosomal RNA is filed under the name uncultured bacterium. RNAcentral describes it as "partial 16S ribosomal RNA". It matches the Rfam family "Bacterial small subunit ribosomal RNA", at positions 524 to 773 of the family's 1533-position model. The record is from RNAcentral.